RNAcentral lists this non-coding RNA (117 nucleotides) under Ctenophora environmental sample. The record is from RNAcentral. Lineage: Eukaryota; Metazoa; Ctenophora.
UACAAGAAACUGGUACACCAGUUCGAUUUUGCGCAAGAACUUCUGGCACUGGCGUCUCUGACCGACCGGGCUAAGCCGAAAUUGCAGCAGAGGGCUGCCACUGUAGCAAAAAACCAU